UAGGGAAUCUUCCACAAUGGGCGAAAGCCUGAUGGAGCAACGCCGCGUGGUGAAGAAGGUUUUCGGAUCGUAAAACUCUGUUGUAAGGGAAGAACAAGUACAGUAGUAACUGGCUGUACCUUGACGGUACCUUAUUAGAAAGCCACGGCUAACUACGUGCCAGCAGCCGCGGUAAUACGUAGGUGGCAAGCGUUGUCCGGAAUUAUUGGGCGUAAAGCGCGCGCAGGUGGUCCUUUAAGUCUGAUGUGAAAGCCCACGGCUCAACCGUGGAGGGUCAUUGGAAACUGGGGGACUUGAGUGCAGAAGAGGAAAGUGGAAUUCCAAGUGUAGCGGUGAAAUGCGUAGAGAUUUGGAGGAACACCAGUGGCGAAGGCGACUUUCUGGUCCGUAACUGACACUGAGGCGCGAAAGCGUGGGGAGCAAACAGGAUUAGAUACCCUGGUAGUCCACGCCGUAAACGAUGAGUGCUAAGUGUUAGGGGGUUUCCCGCCCCUUAGUGCUGCAGCUAACGCAUUAAGCACUCCGCCUGGGGAGUACGGUCGCAAGACUGAAACUUGAAAUGAAUUGAC
Molecule: ribosomal RNA, 569 nt
Filed under: uncultured bacterium
Lineage: Bacteria
Description: partial 16S ribosomal RNA
Rfam family: Bacterial small subunit ribosomal RNA
Source: RNAcentral